CCUACGGGAGGCAGCAGUGGGGAAUUUUGGACAAUGGGCGAAAGCCUGAUCCAGCAAUGCCGCGUGUGGGAAGAAGGCCUUCGGGUUGUAAACCACUUUUGUACGGAACGAAACGGCUCGCUUUAAUACAGUGGGCUAAUGACGGUACCGUAAGAAUAAGCACCGGCUAACUACGUGCCGGCAGCCGCGGUAAUACGUAGGGUGCGAGCGUUAAUCGGAAUUACUGGGCGUAAAGCGUGCGCAGGCGGUUAUAUAAGACAGUUGUGAAAUCCCCGGGCUCAACCUGGGAAUUGCAUCUGUGACUGUAUAGCUAGAGUACGGUAGAGGGGGAUGGAAUUCCGCGUGUAGCAGUGAAAUGCGUAGAUAUGCGGAGGAACACCGAUGGCGAAGGCAAUCCCCUGGACCUGUACUGACGCUCAUGCACGAAAGCGUGGGGAGCAAACAGGAUUAGAUACCCUGGUAGUCCACGCCCUAAACGAUGUCAACUGGUUGUUGGGUGCAUUAGUACUCAGUAACGAAGCUAACGCGUGAAGUUGACCGCCUGGGGAGUACGGCCGCAAGGUUGAAACUCAAAUGAAUUGACGG
This 585-nucleotide ribosomal RNA is filed under the name uncultured bacterium. Its description in RNAcentral is "bacterial SSU rRNA". It matches the Rfam family "Bacterial small subunit ribosomal RNA", at positions 338 to 916 of the family's 1533-position model. The record is from RNAcentral.